UACGGAGGGGGUUAGCGUUGUUCGGAAUUACUGGGCGUAAAGCGCGCGUAGGCGGAUUAGAAAGUUGGGGGUGAAAUCCCGGGGCUCAACCUCGGAACUGCCUCCAAAACUGCUAGUCUAGAGUUCGAGAGAGGUGAGUGGAACUCCGAGUGUAGAGGUGAAAUUCGUAGAUAUUCGGAGGAACACCAGUGGCGAAGGCGGCUCACUGGCUCGAUACUGACGCUGAGGUGCGAAAGUGUGGGGAGCAAACAGG
Molecule: ribosomal RNA, 253 nt
Filed under: uncultured bacterium
Lineage: Bacteria
Description: partial 16S ribosomal RNA
Rfam family: Bacterial small subunit ribosomal RNA
Source: RNAcentral